AGUUAGUUAUUAAAGCUUUAUGCGCUGAGGGAUUGGGAUAUGCUCUAUUAGCUUGUUGGCGGGGUAAAAGCCCACCAAGGCUAUGAUAGAUAGCUGGUCUUAGAGGAUGAACAGCCACAAUGGGAUUGAGAUACGGCCCAUAUUCCUACGGGAAGCAGCAGUAGGGAAUCUUCCACAAUGGACGAAAGUCUGAUGGAGCAAUACCAUGUGAACGAUGAAGGUCUUUUUGAUUGUAAAGUUCUUUUAUGAGGGAUAACAACUGAUAGUACCUCAUGAAUA
RNAcentral lists this ribosomal RNA (279 nucleotides) under uncultured Mycoplasma sp. RNAcentral describes it as "partial 16S ribosomal RNA". It matches the Rfam family "Bacterial small subunit ribosomal RNA", at positions 192 to 488 of the family's 1533-position model. Lineage: Bacteria; Bacillati; Mycoplasmatota; Mollicutes; Mycoplasmatales; Mycoplasmataceae. The record is from RNAcentral.